This 240-nucleotide unclassified non-coding RNA is filed under the name rhizosphere metagenome. RNAcentral's name for it is "partial ribosomal RNA internal transcribed spacer region". The record is from RNAcentral.
GUAGGUGAACCUGCGGAAGGAUCAUUAAAAAGACCCCGGAAACGGGGAGCGAGCUGGCGCAAGCCGGCACGUGUCCACCCUUUGUGAAUCUUACUAUAUGCUUCGGCAGCGCUGUGGGAGACCACAGGUAAGGCUGCCAGAGGCCCACCAAAACCAGUGAUGAAUUAUCAUGCUGUCUGAAUACUCCUGAGAAAUCAGAAAAUGAAAUUAAAACUUUCAGCAACGGAUCUCUUGGUUCUC